UACGUAGGGGGCAAGCGUUGUCCGGAUUUAUUGGGCGUAAAGAGCGUGUAGGCGGCCAGACAGGUCCGUUGUGAAAACUAGAGGCUUAACCUCUAGACGUCGAUGGAAACCGUCUGGCUAGAGUCCGGAAGAGGAGAAUGGAAUUCCUGGCGUAGCGGUGAAAUGCGCAGAUAUCAGGAAGAACACCCGUGGCUAAGGCGGUUCUCUAGUACGGUACUGACGCUGAGACGCGAAAGCGUGGGGAGCGAACAGG
This 253-nucleotide ribosomal RNA is filed under the name uncultured bacterium. RNAcentral describes it as "partial 16S ribosomal RNA". It matches the Rfam family "Bacterial small subunit ribosomal RNA", at positions 524 to 776 of the family's 1533-position model. The record is from RNAcentral.